UGGGGAAUAUUGGACAAUGGGCGGAAGCCUGAUCCAGCCAUGCCGCGUGUGUGAAGAAGGCCUUUUGGUUGUAAAGCGCUUUAAGCGAGGAGGAGGCUCUUCUAGUUAAUACCUAGGAUGAGUGGACGUUACUCGCAGAAUAAGCACCGGCUAACUCUGUGCCAGCAGCCGCGGUAAUACAGAGGGUGCGAGCGUUAAUCGGAUUUACUGGGCGUAAAGCGUGCGUAGGCGGCUGAUUAAGUCGGAUGUGAAAUCCCUGAGCUUAACUUAGGAAUUGCAUUCGAUACUGGUCAGCUAGAGUAUGGGAGAGGAUGGUAGAAUUCCAGGUGUAGCGGUGAAAUGCGUAGAGAUCUGGAGGAAUACCGAUGGAGAAGGCAGCCAUCUGGCCUAAUACUGACGCUGAGGUACGAAAGCAUGGGGAGCAAACAGG
Molecule: ribosomal RNA, 430 nt
Filed under: Pseudomonadota bacterium
Lineage: Bacteria; Pseudomonadati; Pseudomonadota
Description: Proteobacteria bacterium partial 16S ribosomal RNA
Rfam family: Bacterial small subunit ribosomal RNA
Source: RNAcentral